This 214-nucleotide long non-coding RNA is filed under the name Hordeum vulgare. RNAcentral describes it as "long non-coding RNA (HVUL_LNC006416)". The record is from RNAcentral. Lineage: Eukaryota; Viridiplantae; Streptophyta; Magnoliopsida; Poales; Poaceae.
UUAAAUGUUGGGAUUAAUUAAUUACAUUGGAGAUUUUCGUGAACCGUGAGAUUAGGCAAGAAUCAACGACGCCGGACCCGUCUGAUGAAAGCUUCCUAUCAAACCUCUGAUAGGAAGUGUUUUCCUAUAUUUGGCCAACAAGGCAUGGAUAUUUUGGCUCACCAACAUAUAGAUUCAUGUGUAUUAUUUCGGCAUUUGGAAGCAAAAAAAAAAA